CUUGGAUACUCUGACUUAUGGGUAUCGCUUCCCUUCGGGUCUGUGAUGACCUUUUCAACAACCAGAAAAUAGCUGUUGGCCUAUACAAGAUUCUUGAAGAAAAAAAAAAGAGAAGAAAGGUGGAACCGAGAGAGGAGCCCGGGAGGUGAGGAGCAGCCAUGGGAAUUCUCCAAAAGGAAAACCUCCAACAAUCGAAAUGGCAUCACUAAAGCCGAGGUCUGCACCUGGAAGGCCGCCUCCAGCAAGCCUGGGAUUAAAAGUGUCAUUUCCGGCUCUAAUGUCUUCCCGUCCACAGACGGACGAGCAGUCUGCAGACCAGGCUCGGAAUAUGGCCUCCGACCCAGGCUGGGUGGGCUCAGACAUCCUCCUCCCAGAGCUCCCUCUCUGUCAGGGAACACUGUCAUCAGCCCUUGAGGGACCAGGCAGAGUAGGGAAGGCUCCAGCAAGGCUCCAGCACCCUGAGUCCUGCCACCAUCCUGUGUCAGAGUCGUUCAGCUGUGCUGCAGCCACUCUGUGGUUUAAGA
Prionailurus viverrinus (fishing cat) is the source of this 524-nucleotide long non-coding RNA. RefSeq lists it as uncharacterized. The record is from RefSeq and is a predicted model, not a curated record. The transcript has 3 exons. NCBI's taxonomy places the organism in Eukaryota, Metazoa, Chordata, Mammalia, Carnivora, Felidae.